RNAcentral lists this microRNA precursor (206 nucleotides) under Oryza rufipogon (brownbeard rice). Its description in RNAcentral is "MIR812 microRNA precursor family". It matches the Rfam family "MIR812 microRNA precursor family". Lineage: Eukaryota; Viridiplantae; Streptophyta; Magnoliopsida; Poales; Poaceae. The record is from Rfam by way of RNAcentral.
AAAAAGACAAACCUGGUUUCGUGUCCAACGUUUAACCGUCCGUUUUAUUUGAAAAAAUUAUGAAAAAAAAUUAAAAAAACAAUUCACACAUAAAAUAUUAGUCAUGUUUUAUCAUCUAACAACAAUGAAAAUACGAAUUAUAAAAAAAAAUUUCAUAUAAGACGGACAGUUAAAGUUGGACACGGAAACCUAGGAUUUGUCUUUUU